This is a non-coding RNA of Python bivittatus (Burmese python), 290 nucleotides long. The record is from RefSeq and is a predicted model, not a curated record. Lineage: Eukaryota; Metazoa; Chordata; Lepidosauria; Squamata; Pythonidae.
CCAGGACUACUUGGACAGCAAGGAUCCCCUGGGCCAUCUGGAGUGGUGGGCAUACCAGGACUGCCAGGCCACAAAGGGGACAAAGGUGAACGAGGUCGACCAGGCAUAACUGGACCCAAAGGAGAAGUGGGACAAAGAGGAGUCACAGGGUUUCCUGGUGCAGAUGGAGUUCCUGGUCAUCCUGGUCAGGCAGGAUCAAGAGGAAAACCAGGCCAUGAUGGUUGCAAUGGGACCAAGGGGGAUCCUGGUCCACAGGGAAUUCAGGGAUCUGGAGGCACUCCUGGUUCUUU